Molecule: small nuclear RNA, 107 nt
Organism: Globicephala melas (long-finned pilot whale)
Lineage: Eukaryota; Metazoa; Chordata; Mammalia; Artiodactyla; Delphinidae
Source: RefSeq, a predicted model, not a curated record
GUGCUCGCUUCAGCAGCACAUAUACUAAAAAUGGAACAAUACGCAGACGAUUAGCCUAGCCCCUGCAGAAGGAUGACAUGGGGGAAAAAAAGAAGAAAAAUCUUACA